Molecule: small nuclear RNA, 166 nt
Organism: Salvelinus namaycush (lake trout)
Lineage: Eukaryota; Metazoa; Chordata; Actinopteri; Salmoniformes; Salmonidae
Product: U1 spliceosomal RNA
Exons: 1
Source: RefSeq, a predicted model, not a curated record
AUACUUACCUGGCAAGGGAGAUACCGUGAUCAAGAAAGGCGGUUCACCCAGGGCGAGGCUUAGCCAUUGCACGCCAGCUAUGCUGACACCCUGUGAAUUUCCCAAAUGUGGAAAUCUCGAUUGCAUAAUUUAUGGUAGUGGGGGACUGCGUCCGCGCUCUCCCCUG